Molecule: long non-coding RNA, 680 nt
Filed under: Bos taurus (domestic cattle)
Lineage: Eukaryota; Metazoa; Chordata; Mammalia; Artiodactyla; Bovidae
Description: long non-coding RNA NONBTAT021882
Source: RNAcentral
UCAAUAAAAAGAUGAACAAGAAGUAGAAGACAAGAUUGAAAACAUCCUAUGGAACACUUUGCACAGCAGAUUUUAGUGAAGGUACUUUAUUCUAUCAAACUGAGUGACAUCAGAAACAGUUACUGCUGGCUGAGUGCGGCACCGCCCUGUGGACAGACCCCAGAUGAUCACUUCUUGUGAAAUACCCGAGUCCAAAUUUAUUGUUUUCAAAUUUGCACAGCUAAUAUUUGCUCUGUGUCAAUAAAUAUUCAUUUCAACAAGUAUUAAACUACCUCGCCAGUUAAAGUGACCAAUUUUUUUUUAAUAGUGAGAAAGAAAACAGACCCUCACUUUUCCCCCUUGAGGUCCAACUCAUAGUAAAUUUUGAUGAAUUCUGUUAGAAAACCCAUCUGUUUUUUGUCACUUCAUCUUAUUUACUUAUCAGUUUAUUUUUGGAGCACAGUUUACACAAAUUUUGUUAAACAGUUUGCAUUUUAUUGGCGGGUUCUUGAUCCUGUCUGUAGAAAACUUUAAAAUGUAUGUUAUUUCAGUCACUGCUGAGGAAGUGCUCAGCUGGUAAAUAACAACACUUUAAAGGGAUAAGUGAGCCUGCAAUAUAUAAUAAUAGAACAUGGGUCAGUCUUUGGUUUCUAAGUCUUUAGAAACUAUGUGUCUUGAUGGGCUAUAGCUUUUUUUUUUUU